UACGUAGGGUGCGAGCGUUAAUCGGAAUUACUGGGCGUAAAGCGUGCGCAGGCGGUUCGUUGUGUCGGCGGUGAAAGCCCCGGGCUCAACCUGGGAAUGGCCGUUGAAACUGGCGAACUGGAGUGUGGCAGAGGGGGGUGGAAUUCCGCGUGUAGCAGUGAAAUGCGUAGAGAUGCGGAGGAACACCGAUGGCGAAGGCAGCCCCCUGGGCUGACACUGACGCUCAGGCACGAAAGCGUGGAGAGCAAACAGG
This 253-nucleotide ribosomal RNA is filed under the name uncultured bacterium. RNAcentral describes it as "partial 16S ribosomal RNA". It matches the Rfam family "Bacterial small subunit ribosomal RNA", at positions 524 to 776 of the family's 1533-position model. The record is from RNAcentral.